Molecule: ribosomal RNA, 323 nt
Filed under: uncultured eukaryote
Lineage: Eukaryota
Description: partial 18S ribosomal RNA
Rfam family: Eukaryotic small subunit ribosomal RNA
Source: RNAcentral
CCCUUAGAUGUCCUGGGCCGCACGCGCGCUACACUGAUGCAUUCAACGAGUAUUUCCUUGGCCGAGAGGCCUGGGCAAUCUUUUAAACCUGCAUCGUGAUAGGGAUAGAUUAUUGCAAUUAUUAAUCUUGAACGAGGAAUUCCUAGUAAACGCGAGUCAUCAGCUCGCAUUGAUUACGUCCCUGCCCUUUGUACACACCGCCCGUCGCACCUACCGAUUGAAUGUUUCGGUGAAGAUUCCGGAUAGGACUUUUUUGAUUUAUUUCAAUUUUGUCUUAAAAGCUAUCUAAACCUCAACAUUUAGAGGAAGGUGAAGUCGUAACA